UUUCCGUAGGUGAACCUGCGGAAGGAUCAUUAAUGAGUUGUCAUGGGGUUCGAUGCUGGCAGCCAGUUUUUGGAUGCAUGUGCUUGCCCUAACAAUCAUCUUCUUCCAAACACCUGUGCACAUUUUUGAGGGAGUCUUGAGUUGGUUGCCGCUCUUGGGUGAUUUUCUCACAUUCCCUUAAAUCAUUAUACGCUACUAACAAUGUUGAACGUGCUCUGUGCCGCAAGGCCACUAAUAUAAUACAACUUUUAACAACGGAUCUCUUGGCUCUC
RNAcentral lists this unclassified non-coding RNA (272 nucleotides) under plant metagenome. RNAcentral describes it as "partial contains small subunit ribosomal RNA, internal transcribed spacer 1, and 5.8S ribosomal RNA". The record is from RNAcentral.